Molecule: ribosomal RNA, 460 nt
Filed under: uncultured bacterium
Lineage: Bacteria
Description: partial 16S ribosomal RNA
Rfam family: Bacterial small subunit ribosomal RNA
Source: RNAcentral
CCUACGGGUGGCAGCAGUGAGGAAUAUUGGUCAAUGGGCGGAAGCCUGAACCAGCCAAGUAGCGUGCAGGAUGACGGCCCUACGGGUUGUAAACUGCUUUUAUACGGGAAUAACGCGCCUUACGUGUAGGGCUUUGCAUGUACCGUAUGAAUAAGGACCGGCUAAUUCCGUGCCAGCAGCCGCGGUAAUACGGAAGGUACGGGCGUUAUCCGGAUUUAUGGGGUUAAAGGGGGGCGUGGGCGGCAUGUCAACCGUGCUGUGAAAUGUCCGGGCUCAACCCGGGCCUUGCAGCGCGAACUGGCGUGCUUGAGUCCGCGGAAAGCAGGCGGAAUUCGUCGUGUAGCGGUGAAAUGCUUAGAAAUGACGAAGAACCCCGAUUGCGAAGGCAGCUUGCUGCAGCGGAACUGACGCUGAUGCUCGAAAGCGCGGGUAUCGAACAGGAUUAGAUACCCUGGUAGUC